GUGCCAGCAGCCGCGGUAAUACGGAGGGUGCGAGCGUUAAUCGGAAUUACUGGGCGUAAAGGGCGCGUAGGCGGUCGCGCAAGUCGGGUGUGAAAGCCCCGGGCUCAACCUGGGAAUUGCAUUCGAUACUGCGUAACUAGAGUCUGGUAGAGGGAAGCGGAAUUCCGCAUGUAGCGGUGAAAUGCGUAGAUAUGCGGAGGAACACCAGUGGCGAAGGCGGCUUCCUGGACCAAGACUGACGCUGAGGCGCGAAAGCGUGGGGAGCAAACAGGAUUAGAUACCCUGGUAGUCCACGCCCUAAACGAUGAGGACUAGACGUUGGGGGGAUAAAACCCUUUAGUGUCGCAGCUAACGCGUGAAGUCCUCCGCCUGGGGAGUACGGCCGCAAGGUUGAAACUCAAACGUAGUAAGUUGGCGG
This 418-nucleotide ribosomal RNA is filed under the name uncultured bacterium. Its description in RNAcentral is "bacterial SSU rRNA". It matches the Rfam family "Bacterial small subunit ribosomal RNA", at positions 505 to 916 of the family's 1533-position model. The record is from RNAcentral.